This 32-nucleotide non-coding RNA is filed under the name Mus musculus (house mouse). Lineage: Eukaryota; Metazoa; Chordata; Mammalia; Rodentia; Muridae. The record is from RNAcentral.
UGUUUACUAGAAAAGACUUAUGCCUUCCCCUC